UUGCGGUGCGAGCCAACGCGACCGCGACAAGCAUGAAGCUCUCGAUCAGGCCGGCGCUGAUGAGCGAAGGGAUCUGAACGGGGAGAUGAUCCAGAGACAAGGGACAGAAGCAUUCCAAGCAGAAGAAAAGAAUACGGAGAUAACAAUAUUGGGACCACACUUCUCGGCUCUUGCCAUCUUUGGUCAGAUUAACAUUCCACAUAGUGUGUGAUUAGCACAGACUUAGAAGUCCAGCGUUUGCGCGGCGAAAUUCCCACACAUACAAUAGUGCUUGUGUAAUGCGGAGAAUGCGAGAGUGUAUCUUGCUGCGUGGAAAUUUGAACUGGAGUUCGGGGAGCGGAGAAGUUUUCAGUCCGAAUGGUAUUGGUUUAGGAGGUCCCAGCUUCGUUCGAUACUUAAAUUGGGAGGUGGCGAAUGAAGGAUCCGUGAUUAUGGACUCGAGUGCGAGGUGUUUGGGAAAUCGACGAGCGCCCUUGCGAACUCUGAAGGCAUUGGGAUCGACCACCUGGGCAUAGAGGGAGUUGAAUUUCGUAAACACCGUGUAUGAUUCAUGAAUCUGUGUCUGAUCAUGACAGUGCAUCAUGUAGAAGGGAAUUGGAGCUUGAUUCAAGUGUUCCUUGGACUCCGGACUUGUUGGAGGCUGGACAGUGGAGGCAGCAUUGAUGAGGUCUCGGAAACAGAGUGCUUAUGGCUGCUUGGAAACCAAUGGUGGUGACACAGGAACCAUGUCGCGAAAGGACAGUGCUUCAACGAUGCUGAAAGUGCUCAUUAGGGCACAAACUACGGGGAACGGGUACAGGGCUUUACGACAAUUGCCUGCGGCGAUUUAUUGCAGACGAGGGGGCACGUCGCAAGAUACUGCUUCUCUGUGCAUUGAGCUUGAGAGCGCCUUGGUGGCUAACGAUGUUAAUUACUCCCAGGAAGCGCUAGCGAAUUUGGCCCAGAAUCUAUUUGAGUGGAAUAAUCCCAACCACCAGUCGAACCGGGAGGCUUUUGUGCUGUUUGGGGGGGAUAUUGUGCUCCUUAGAGCAUUGCUUUUAAGUUUUCCGAUCCUGGGGGACGUUGAUAAGCUGAGUUUCACAUUGAAGGUGCUGUACAUCCGAAACGAAUGUUUGAACAUGUUGCGUGAACUGUGCUUUACGGUGCAUCCUUUUAUCGAGUAUUUGGCUGCUGAUGAGGUGUUUGUGGUUAAGCUUUUUGACAUGAUGCGCUUCCGCAACACGUUCAACACUGCUGUUAAUCUUGCAGAAGAGAUUAUGGCAAUUCGGAAAGACCUGUGGCAAGUACAGGAUGUUCCGAAUUUUACAAGUCUAGUUUGCAAUUUCUCCUUAAGACAACUGGCUUCAUUUUGCCGUGUUCUUGAGAUGGUGAUUAUUGAACCCGAGGAGCGGAGUUUAGAAAUUUGUGUGCAACAGGAGUCAAGGUCUGAAGAGCCAGCAUGGACGACGACUGACAAAAACCACGAGGCUAUUCUUCUCGUCCCAGACAUUCUUUCACACCUGGUGAAACUCUUCACAUUGGACAAAGUGUCCUCAAGUCGAGAAGUGAGACAACUGAGCACCUUGAGCAGCUGAAGGCCUAACAAAGAUAACAUGUCAUCCGAACUUUCAGAGCUGGCAUUAUCCUUGUCCAUGCGAGACACAGUAGAAAGAAUGUAUCAUGCUUUCCAUGUUACUCGAGGUCAAUUUUUUGAUGAGAGAGGGGAUGUCAUUCCACAAUUGGAAGGUCGGCAGGAAUCCGAUUCUGCUUCUUAUCUCCAACAAGAGAGAGCAGGUCCAAGUUUAACAGAUGAGAGGAUUUUACAUUGGAACAUCAUAACAUUUCUGGAUCUCACUGGUCUCUCUACCGGCGUGGUACACCUGGCCGCUUCUGUAAGCGGUUUUUGAAAUGACAGCUUUUUUGGUCAUGGGUUAUUUCGCUUUUGCUUUUCAGGAGCAAGAAAUGAGUUAUGUACGAAAGCAAAGAGGGAAAACGAAAUAUCCCAUGACCAAACAAAAAUGCGCUUUGACAUCGAUGGCACAACGAUGUCAAGCCACAGUGAUAGUCCGCUGCUUUGAAUAUUUUGCUUAGAAAUCGUUAUAGAGAAAAGGUAAUUGUUAUUAAUAUGUAAUUGAAUUGUCGAUUGGUUUGCAUCACAAGAUUUAAAAUGUGAUGGUCUUUUACAGGUGCAAAACUCUCUGGCAGAGCUAGGCCUGGUGAAUGUGUUGAAUGACAUGUUCGACAAACUGGACUGGGUGUCGACGGUCACGUGCUCACUCUCGAGGAAUCCAUAGCCUUGGUUGUGCAUGCAAUACGAAGUCGGCCCUAAAUAUACAAUACCUGAGGUUAAUUCACAAUUUUUGUGAUCGCGACAGCUGCAAUCGAACGAACAAGCAGCUAUUAUUAGCUCCAAGUGUCUUCCAUGAGAGCAACUCAUUUUGGAGCAAGGAUACGAAGAAUAUGGAGUCAAGUGGCCUUAGUGUGAAGAUACUGAAGAUGCUGGUGAAUGAUCCUGGAGGCUCAAUGUAUCGGUAGUCCCAUCCACGAUCUGUAGGAAUCUGUUUGUGAUGUUGCGCAUGCAAAUGUAAUGUGGAUAGCAGCAAUUUUCAAUGUGCAUAACUAGCAGAAGUCUGAUGGAGGUUCUGGCUUUCCUCAUGUGGAAGCUUUUUUGCGAGGUGCUGAACAUGAAGAUCAAGAAGUUGUGGCAUCAAUUGGUCUGUUGGAAUAUCUACUAUGUGAAAUUCUGAAAGGAGGAUUUCGAUGUGCUACCUCUCUACACGUUUGUAAUUUGGUGGCAUUUUAAACACGGCCAUACUAUUAUGCCAUUGCAGAACGUCCCAGGCACUGUGAUCCUUGCAACUCAAGUUUUUUCAUUCAUGGUUGUGACUUGAUCAACUUUGAUCUUUUGGGAGAGCUCAUCAAGUUCAACAAAAUUUUAUUCCAGCGUCUUGACUGCCUUUUAGCAGGACACAAGUUUGACCAGUUUGUUGAGAUCUGUGGUGCUGUCUCUGGAUUACUUUAAGAGAUGUCUGGUAGAGACAACACACCCUAAUUCAAGUCCAUAUCCGCGCUCAUUGAAUGAGACAAGCAUGAAUAAAGACGGCUACAGUUAUGGAAGCAAGGAGAUAAAGUACUGCAAGAUUGCUGCCUUCGUCUCAAACAAUACCUUUCGUUUACUGAGAGACCUCAUGUUCGCUGUGCGACUCGAUGAUAUCAACUAGGGUAAUAUGUGUUUUGAAUACGCCCUCAUCAUUUUCAUACUUGUGGAGAGGAACGGAGAGCUCCCGGAAUACCUUCAAGCCCUAAGGGUUGCUAGCAUGGUUUCCGAUCACUUCUGGAGUUUUGGCGCAGCUACUAUCUCGCGAGACGAAGGCGCGAAUGCGUAUCCCUUCAAUUCUCGACCAGCUACCUUUUUCAUAUUGGCUUCACAUUGUAGACUUGCUUUGUUCCCAUCCUGAUUCCCCCUAAUGCUCCUGUACACUUCCCCAAUUGAACUCCUCGACGCCCAGUAUGACUGCGAUUGAACCCACUCUAGGACUGAUUCUGAUAUAAUUGUCAUUGUUGCAUAUUGUGCGUAUUGGUAUUUGCAUUGUGUCAUUUAGCGUCAUAAUGACGCCUAAUUAUACUUUUGAGAGCAUGAAAAGUUGCUUUAUGGUGUAGGAGUGAGGCACUUAGCGUUGCACAAGAGAUAAAAGAGUAAUUUCCGGCCUGCCUCAAGUGUGUGCAAAUGAGUAAUUGUAAAAUAGAUAUGAGCUCAUCUACACGGUAUGUUCGAAUUUCACAAUAAUGUGGAACGAACUGCAAUGAAUAAAAAAUAAAAGUAAAAGAAAUCUGUAUA
Non-coding RNA from Physcomitrium patens, 3817 nucleotides. Lineage: Eukaryota; Viridiplantae; Streptophyta; Bryopsida; Funariales; Funariaceae. The record is from RefSeq and is a predicted model, not a curated record.